RNAcentral lists this ribosomal RNA (430 nucleotides) under Pseudomonadota bacterium. RNAcentral's name for it is "Proteobacteria bacterium partial 16S ribosomal RNA". It matches the Rfam family "Bacterial small subunit ribosomal RNA", at positions 355 to 776 of the family's 1533-position model. Lineage: Bacteria; Pseudomonadati; Pseudomonadota. The record is from RNAcentral.
UGGGGAAUAUUGGACAAUGGGGGGAACCCUGAUCCAGCCAUGCCGCGUGUGUGAAGAAGGCCUUAUGGUUGUAAAGCACUUUAAGCGAGGAGGAGGGUACUGGUAUUAAUACUACCAGCUACUGGACGUUACUCGCAGAAUAAGCACCGGCUAACUCUGUGCCAGCAGCCGCGGUAAUACAGAGGGUGCGAGCGUUAAUCGGAUUUACUGGGCGUAAAGCGUGCGUAGGCGGCUAAUUGAGUCGGAUGUGAAAUCCCCGAGCUUAACUUGGGAAUUGCAUUCGAUACUGGUUAGCUAGAGUGUGGGAGAGGAUGGUAGAAUUCCAGGUGUAGCGGUGAAAUGCGUAGAGAUCUGGAGGAAUACCGAUGGCGAAGGCAGCCAUCUGGCCUAACACUGACGCUGAGGUACGAAAGCAUGGGUAGCAAACAGG